This is a small nuclear RNA of Artibeus jamaicensis (Jamaican fruit-eating bat), 102 nucleotides long. NCBI's taxonomy places the organism in Eukaryota, Metazoa, Chordata, Mammalia, Chiroptera, Phyllostomidae. The record is from RefSeq and is a predicted model, not a curated record.
GUGCUCACUUCGGCAGCACGUGUAUUAAAAUUGGGCCAAUACAGAGAAGACUGGCCCCUGCGCAAGGAUGACACGCAAAUUCCUGAAGCAUUCUAUAUAUAU